Long non-coding RNA from Columba livia (rock pigeon), 1251 nucleotides. RefSeq lists it as uncharacterized. Lineage: Eukaryota; Metazoa; Chordata; Aves; Columbiformes; Columbidae. The transcript has 3 exons. The record is from RefSeq and is a predicted model, not a curated record.
UCCACUGUGGGCAUAAAUUGCUGUAACUUCAGGAACUCCUAUGACUAAAGACAACCCUCACUACUACUCAGCUCAAUAGCCAGAAACCUACAUCUUUCUCACGGUCUUUUGGAAGAAUAUUUCUAUAUGUAAGCAAAUAUAACAGGUUCAAUCCAAAGGAUGACUCAAGCUCUUAGAACACAGGGAAACUUAGGACUCAAGCACAAAGCUAGAAAGACAUUGCUGGAGUUUUCUCUAACAUGACAGUAGCCACUUGAAUUGAUGCCAGUAUCUAGAACUCUGUUCCUGCGUGCGCCCACAACUCCCUGUCUGAACAUCCAGAUACCCACGGAAGAUACUCAGCUGGCCAAAACAUGAAUCCAAUCUUUGGGCCUACGAUUUUGCAAGUGUUAAGCGCCUCUGAUGAACAGGUGAUUCCUGGAGGGAGUAGUCUCCUAGAGGUCAAUUUUCAUGCAGCUUUCUAAGUUCAGCAGAUGACCCAGAACCACAACUUGUGGCUAAAGGUGACUAAACUGCACAGCUGGAUGAAUUUUGGCAGAGAAGGAUUGAGACAGCAUAAUGAAUCUGCUGCACAUCUACUGCUGUGACUUUUGUGAGAAGAUUUAUCUUAAGAUGGAAGCUCGUUUUGCAAGGUGCUGAAUGUCUGGAGCCUUCGAGGAGACUCAUUGCAAAAUCAGACACCGCAUGUGUGGAGGAGGUUGACCUUGCAAAAUUCUUAUUCUGUUUUUGAACAAUUAGGACUAACUUCAAGCCCAGUUGAGACUUCCAGACUUUGAGGCUCCAGAGUCUGGACUGGAUCCAAGGCCCAGUGAACAGGUGGAAGAUUUGAUUCUGAUCUCCUUGAUGCUGGUGUAAAGGAAGAUUCACAUCCUGGAACCAAAUGGAUAUGACACGGUACAAAGGAGGAUGAGAUCAGAAGCAAGAUCUAUUACCGCUAUGAGAAGCUCCCUGCUGAUGUAGCCAUCCUCAGAAAAAACAUAGAGACUUAGAGUUGACUUUUCAGCUCCUCAUGUAUUUGGGGGCACAAGAGCUAUUAGUCACAGAGAAAAUAAAUGCUCUCAUUUCAAGCUGGUUCCCAUUUUUGUUUUGUUUUGAGUCCAUACCGAAGUGGGAAGAAGUGCAGGUGACAAUGACUUUGAGGUGAAAAUGGCAGAACAGUCUUGCGUACAAUUAAAAUGGGGCACUUCUGUGUAAAAUAGGUUGUCAAAAGCACUGCCUCUUGAUGCAGAACAAUAAAAUAAUCUUUUCAAA